This 440-nucleotide ribosomal RNA is filed under the name uncultured bacterium. Its description in RNAcentral is "partial 16S ribosomal RNA". It matches the Rfam family "Bacterial small subunit ribosomal RNA", at positions 338 to 795 of the family's 1533-position model. The record is from RNAcentral.
CCUACGGGAGGCAGCAGUGGGGAAUAUUGGACAAUGGGGGGAACCCUGAUCCAGCGACGCCGCGUGAGUGAAGAAGUAUUUCGGUAUGUAAAGCUCUAUCAGCAGGGAAGAAAAUGAUGGUACCUGACUAAGAAGCCCUGGCUAACGACGGGCCAGCAGCCGCGGUACUACGUAGGGGGCAAGGGUUAUCCGGAUUUACUGGGUGUAAAGGGAGCGUAGACGGUGCAGCAAGUCUGAUGUGAAAGGUCGGGGCCCAACCCCGGGACUGCCUUGGAAACUGUUGAACUGGAGUACAGGAGAGGUAGGCGGAAUUCGUAGUGUAGCGGUGAAAUGCGUAGAUAUUAGGCGGAACACCAGUGGCGAAGGCAGCUUACUGAACUGUAACUGACGUUGAGGCUCGAAAGCGUGGGGAGCAAACAGGAUUAGAUACCCGGGUAGUC